AGUCGAGCGGAUGAAGGGAGCUUGCUCCUGAAUUCAGCGGCGGACGGGUGAGUAAAGCCUAGGAAUCUGCCUGGUAGUGGGGGACAACGUUUCGAAAGGAACGCUAAUACCGCAUACGUCCUACGGGAGAAAGCAGGGGACCUUCGGGCCUUGCGCUAUCAGAUGAGCCUAGGUUCCCUUUAGCUAGUUGGUGAGGUAAUGGCUCACCAAGGCGACGAUCCGUAACUGGUCUGAGAGGAUGAUCAGUCACACUGGAACUGAGACACGGUCCAGACUCCUACGGGAGGCAGCAGUGGGGAAUAUUGGACAAUGGGCGAAAGCCUGAUCCAGCCAUGCCGCGUGUGUGAAGAAGGUCUUCGGAUUGUAAAGCACUUUAAGUUGGGAGGAAGGGUUGUAGAUUAAUACUCUGCAAUUUUGACGUUACCGACAGAAUAAGCACCGGCUAACUCUGUGC
RNAcentral lists this ribosomal RNA (454 nucleotides) under Pseudomonas sp. Its description in RNAcentral is "bacterial SSU rRNA". It matches the Rfam family "Bacterial small subunit ribosomal RNA", at positions 60 to 508 of the family's 1533-position model. Lineage: Bacteria; Pseudomonadati; Pseudomonadota; Gammaproteobacteria; Pseudomonadales; Pseudomonadaceae. The record is from RNAcentral.